RNAcentral lists this small RNA (106 nucleotides) under Marmota monax (woodchuck). Lineage: Eukaryota; Metazoa; Chordata; Mammalia; Rodentia; Sciuridae. The record is from RNAcentral.
CAGGUGCGGUGGUGCGCACCUAUAAUCCCAGCUACUUGGGAGAAUGAGGUAGGAGGAUCAUGAGUUCAGGGCCAUCCUGAGCAACUUAGGUAAGAUCCUGCCUCAA